Molecule: ribosomal RNA, 1354 nt
Filed under: uncultured bacterium
Lineage: Bacteria
Description: bacterial SSU rRNA
Rfam family: Bacterial small subunit ribosomal RNA
Source: RNAcentral
GCGGCAGGCUUAACACAUGCAAGUCGAGGGGCAGCGGGGAGGAAGCUUGCUUUCUCCGCCGGCGACCGGCGCACGGGUGAGUAACACGUAUGCAACCUGCCCCUGUCAGGGGGACAACCCGCCGAAAGGCGGGCUAAACCCGCGUACAUGCCACCGGGGCAUCCCGGAGGCAGGAAAGGCUUCGGCCGGACAGGGAUGGGCAUGCGGCGCAUUAGGCAGUAGGCGGGGUAACGGCCCACCUAACCGACGAUGCGUAGGGGUUCUGAGAGGAAGGUCCCCCACACUGGUACUGAGACACGGACCAGACUCCUACGGGAGGCAGCAGUGAGGAAUAUUGGUCAAUGGUCGGGAGACUGAACCAGCCAAGCCGCGUGAGGGAGGAAGGUACAGAGUAUCGUAAACCUCUUUUGUCAGGGAACAAAGACUGGGACGCGUCCCCGGAUGAGUGUACCUGAAGAAAAAGCAUCGGCUAACUCCGUGCCAGCAGCCGCGGUAAUACGGAGGAUGCGAGCGUUAUCCGGAUUUAUUGGGUUUAAAGGGUGCGCAGGCGGUCUGUUAAGUCAGCGGUCAAAGCCCGGGGCUCAACCCCGGCCCGCCGUUGAAACUGGCAGUCUCGAGUUGGAGAGAAGUAUGCGGAAUGCGCGGUGUAGCGGUGAAAUGCAUAGAUAUCGCGCAGAACUCCGAUUGCGAAGGCAGCAUGCCGGCUCCACACUGACGCUGAGGCACGAAAGCGUGGGUAUCGAACAGGAUUAGAUACCCUGGUAGUCCACGCAGUAAACGAUGAAUGCUGGCUGUCCGGGGGGGACUGACCCCUGGGUGGCGAAGCGAAAGCGAUAAGCAUUCCACCUGGGGAGUACGCCGGCAACGGUGAAACUCAAAGGAAUUGACGGGGGCCCGCACAAGCGGAGGAACAUGUGGUUUAAUUCGAUGAUACGCGAGGAACCUUACCCGGGCUCAAACGGGGAGUGCCGCAGGCAGAGACGCCUGUUUCCCACGGGACACUCCCCGAGGUGCUGCAUGGUUGUCGUCAGCUCGUGCCGUGAGGUGUCGGCUUAAGUGCCAUAACGAGCGCAACCCCCGCGUGCAGUUGCUAACAGAUAACGCUGAGGACUCUGCACGGACUGCCGGCGCAAGCCGCGAGGAAGGCGGGGAUGACGUCAAAUCAGCACGGCCCUUACGUCCGGGGCGACACACGUGUUACAAUGGGUGGUACAGCGGGAAGCCAGGCGGCGACGCCGAGCGGAACCCGAAAUCCACUCUCAGUUCGGAUCGGAGUCUGCAACCCGACUCCGUGAAGCUGGAUUCGCUAGUAAUCGCGCAUCAGCCAUGGCGCGGUGAAUACGUUCCCGGGCCU